Molecule: ribosomal RNA, 498 nt
Filed under: uncultured bacterium
Lineage: Bacteria
Description: partial 16S ribosomal RNA
Rfam family: Bacterial small subunit ribosomal RNA
Source: RNAcentral
GACGAACGCUGGCGGCGUGCCUAAUACAUGCAAGUCGAACGAGAGCGCCCGGUGCUUGCACUGGUCAAUCUAGUGGCGAACGGGUGAGUAACACGUGGGUAACCUGCCCAUCAGAGGGGGAUAACAUCCGGAAACGGAUGCUAAAACCGCAUAGGUCUUCGAACCGCAUGGUUUGAAGAGGAAAAGAGGCGCAAGCUUCUGCUGAUGGAUGGACCCGCGGUGCAUUAGCUAGUUGGUGAGGUAACGGCUCACCAAGGCCGUGAUGCAUAGCCGACCUGAGAGGGUGAUCGGCCACCUUGGGACUGGGACACGGCCCAAACUCCUACGGGAGGCAGCAGUAGGGAAUCUUCCGCAAUGGACGCAAGUCUGACGGAGCAACGCCGCGUGAGUGAAGAAGGUUUUCGGAUCGUAAAACUCUGUUGUUAGAGAAGAACAAGUGCUAGAGUAACUGUUAGCGCCUUGACGGUAUCUAACCAGAAAGCCACGGCUAACUACGUG